CCUACUGGAGGCAGCAGUGGGGAAUAUUGGACAAUGGGCGAAAGCCUGAUCCAGCAAUGCCGCGUGAGUGAUGAAGGCCUUCGGGUCGUAAAGCUCUUUUACCAGGGAUGAUAAUGACAGUACCUGGAGAAUAAGCUCCGGCUAACUCCGUGCCAGCAGCCGCGGUAAUACGGAGGGAGCUAGCGUUGUUCGGAAUUACUGGGCGUAAAGAGUACGUAGGCGGUUAUUCAAGUCAGAGGUGAAAGCCCGGGGCUCAACCCCGGAACUGCCUUUGAAACUAGAUAACUAGAGUCUUGGAGAGGUUAGUGGAAUUCCGAGUGUAGAGGUGAAAUUCGUAGAUAUUCGGAAGAACACCAGUGGCGAAGGCGACUAACUGGACAAGUACUGACGCUGAGGUACGAAAGCGUGGGGAGCAAACAGGAUUAGAUACCCUGGUAGUCCACGCCGUAAACGAUGAUAACUAGUUGUUCGGUCACUUGGUGACUGAGUGACGCAGCUAACGCAUUAAGUUAUCCGCCUGGGGAGUCGGUCGCAAGAUUAAAACUUAAGGAAUUGACGGCUGNGAGNGCGAGCGACGACGAGGAGAG
Molecule: ribosomal RNA, 587 nt
Filed under: uncultured bacterium
Lineage: Bacteria
Description: bacterial SSU rRNA
Rfam family: Bacterial small subunit ribosomal RNA
Source: RNAcentral